UACGUAGGGUGCGAGCGUUGCCCGGAUUUAUUGGGCGUAAAGGGCGCGUAGGCGGCCACGCACGUCCGUUGUGAAAUCGCCCGGCUCAACUGGGCGGGGUCAGCGGAUACGGUGUGGCUAGAGCGAGCUAGGGGGCAAUGGAAUUCCCGGUGUAGUGGUGGAAUGCGUAGAUAUCGGGAGGAACACCAGUGGCGAAGGCGGUUGCCUGGAGCUUUGCUGACGCUGAUGCGCGAAAGCGUGGGGAGCGAUCCGG
This 253-nucleotide ribosomal RNA is filed under the name uncultured bacterium. RNAcentral's name for it is "partial 16S ribosomal RNA". It matches the Rfam family "Bacterial small subunit ribosomal RNA", at positions 524 to 776 of the family's 1533-position model. The record is from RNAcentral.